RNAcentral lists this transfer RNA (74 nucleotides) under Candidatus Handelsmanbacteria bacterium RIFCSPLOWO2_12_FULL_64_10. RNAcentral's name for it is "tRNA-Arg". It matches the Rfam family "tRNA". Rfam says of the family: Transfer RNA (tRNA) molecules are approximately 80 nucleotides in length. Their secondary structure includes four short double-helical elements and three loops (D, anti-codon, and T loops). Further hydrogen bonds mediate the characteristic L-shaped molecular structure. tRNAs have two regions of fundamental functional importance: the anti-codon, which is responsible for specific mRNA codon recognition, and the 3' end, to which the tRNAs corresponding amino acid is attached (by aminoacyl-tRNA synthetases). tRNAs cope with the degeneracy of the genetic code in two manners: having more than one tRNA (with a specific anti-codon) for a particular amino acid; and 'wobble' base-pairing, i.e. permitting non-standard base-pairing at the 3rd anti-codon position. The record is from RNAcentral. Lineage: Bacteria; Candidatus Handelsmaniibacteriota.
GGGCUAUUAGCUCAGUUGGAUAGAGCGUUGGCCUCCGGAGCCAAAGGCCGCAGGUUCGAGUCCUGCAUAGCCCA